Molecule: transfer RNA, 82 nt
Filed under: Sphingobium amiense
Lineage: Bacteria; Pseudomonadati; Pseudomonadota; Alphaproteobacteria; Sphingomonadales; Sphingobiaceae
Also listed under: 1 other name
Rfam family: tRNA
About the family: Transfer RNA (tRNA) molecules are approximately 80 nucleotides in length. Their secondary structure includes four short double-helical elements and three loops (D, anti-codon, and T loops). Further hydrogen bonds mediate the characteristic L-shaped molecular structure. tRNAs have two regions of fundamental functional importance: the anti-codon, which is responsible for specific mRNA codon recognition, and the 3' end, to which the tRNAs corresponding amino acid is attached (by aminoacyl-tRNA synthetases). tRNAs cope with the degeneracy of the genetic code in two manners: having more than one tRNA (with a specific anti-codon) for a particular amino acid; and 'wobble' base-pairing, i.e. permitting non-standard base-pairing at the 3rd anti-codon position.
Source: Rfam by way of RNAcentral
GCGGGUGUGGUGAAAUUGGUAGACGCGCCGGACUCAAAAUCCGGUUCCGCAAGGAGUGUCGGUUCGAGCCCGACCACCCGCA